Non-coding RNA from Chlorocebus sabaeus (green monkey), 2320 nucleotides. Lineage: Eukaryota; Metazoa; Chordata; Mammalia; Primates; Cercopithecidae. The record is from RefSeq and is a predicted model, not a curated record.
AUGGGCAGAGAACAAUAUUAUGCAGCCGACAUCCCAGUAAGGUGCUGCAGCAGUACUGGUGGCUAUGGUUCCCGUAGCCAGAAGGAGUUGCCCACAGAGCCCCCCAUACAAUAUACAUAGGAAAUCUACCUUUUAAUAUGGUUCAGGGUGAUAUAGAUGCUAUCUUUAAGGAUCUCAGCAUAAGGAGUAUACGGGUAGUCAGAGACAAAGACACAGAUAAAUUUAAAGGAUUCUGCUAUAUAGAAUUCAAUGAAUUCCUUAAGGAAGCUUUGACAUACGAUGGUGCACAGUUGGGCAAUCGGUCACUUCAUGUGGACACUGCAGAAGGCAGAAAACAAGAUAAAGGUGGCUCUGGAUUCAGAAAAGGUGGCCCAGAUGACGAGGAUUCAGGGAUGACUUCUUAGGAGGCAGGGGAAGUAGUCACCCAGAUGACUGGCCAACAGGCCCCGCAAUGGGCACCCACGUCAGAGAUGGUCCUUCCCUCCACGGAUCCAACGUGGAUUUCAAAGAACCGACAGAGGAGGGAAGAGCACAAAGACCAUGACUCCAGCGUAAACCUUGAACGGUUGUGACGCCCCUCAAUCAAGUAGCCAAUCCCAACUCUGCUAUCUUCGGGGGUGCCAGACCCAAAGCGGAAUUCGUCCACAAGGAGCAAGAAUGAGCCUGCGGUUGGGAGGGAAUGGGACUUGGGGGGUUGGAGCAGGACCACAGCCUGGUGAGUCCCUGGGCCGUGUUCCUGCUGCUUCCACUUCCGCACCUGCCACUGGCCUCCCCACAGUGGAAACACAGCUUGUUGAGUGCAUGCCAGCUGUUAACAAGUGGUUUUUAGUACAUGGUGGGCUUUGCUGUAUCUAUGUAGUGCCUGUUUGUGUGUUUUUUUCUUUCUACCACUGCUUCCCCAUUUUCCUUCUGUCCUUUUCCUCCCAGCUCCUUGUUUUCCUAGCAGCACAUCGGAGGAUCGGAGGUGGCUGUGUGGGGGAGUCAUUUGGGCUGCAGUGCCGCAUCAUUUUUCUCCUUGGCUUCCUCUUUUUACCUUAGACACUGGCCCGACUCCAGGCAUUUCCUUUCAUUUCUUCAGUGUUUCUCUUCUGACCUGCAUGUUGAGUUCUGUAUUGCGUUGGCUUCUAACAAAAACCAGAAGUCACUGACAGACUGAACUGCAGUAUAGUAUUCAGCUGUGAUGGACACAGAGAAUUGGAGGCACCUUGUUUUCACAACUAGGAUAAAAAUAGCUGUUAAUCCUUGCAAGGUCCUUUCCAUUUCUAUUGAGAGGGAACCCUGGCUCCAUGACCCCUUCCCAAAGUGGACUGUCCAAAGGGAUAGGCUCACAUGAGAAACAGCGAACCUGAAAGUGGAGACUGUGGAAUAGUGGUAGGGAGUCCAUGGAGAAGAUACAGUGAAUGUUCGUAUGCAUUCACGUGUUUUUGUUCCUGCUCUUUUGAGGUUGUGUCCCAGCUAGUUCACUCCUUUCACCAGACAUGGUCCAGGUUCCCCUCUCUGGCCAGCUGCAGCGAAUGGCCAGACGGUUUCUUUUCUGCUGGGCCGAGGCACUUUGGGGGUUGGGGGUAGUGCUGGCACUGCACUUCGUUGACUGCAGUGCUGACACAGCGUUUCCCCAAAUCCCUGUUGCCUGUGUGUUUGUGUUUAUCUGUUCCUAAUAUAGACAACAUAACGAGAUACUGUGCUUCCCACCUUCCCUUCAAUUCAUAGCCAAAAUGGUUCUAGAAUCUGGUACUUUACUCAUUUCCUUUGAUAAAUGAAAUUGUACUAUGCAGAGCUGUCAGGAAACUUCAGAUAACCGUAUAGGACUUUAGCUGUCUAGGUCUGUGGCUGCAUCUUGGGGAUAUACUUGAUUGUUCCCAUGUGCAGGGUUCAGCACUUACCUGGGAGUGGUAGGGGAUAGGCUUUUGAGCUUGAAUGCCUAUGUGUGAACAGAUUAAAAAUGCUUCAGUACCCAAAUCCCAGUCUUCCCUUUGGGGAACAGUUGGGGGGUGGCUGGCAGCAAGGGCCUAGGAAAGAGACCCUUGCUGGGUGAUGGCAGGGUGGGGUGGGGCACCCAGCGGAGUGUGCUUAGUAAUUGAUCACUGGCUGUCAUCCUUGGCUUCUUCUACUGUGUCUUUGUUACAAGUCCUCAGCAAUCCACAGAACUAACUCUCUCCUUCCUUCUACCUGUCAGCUUCUCUGCUUCUGAGAUAAGAACCAUUUCUGUAACACCAAUACUUAAGAAAGACAUGCAUUAUGUGGUGUAAUCAAGCCUGAUGCUUUCAGAUCAUCUACUUACAUCUUCAAUGUGGAUAAGAUAAAGAAACAAAACAAAUGC